Molecule: ribosomal RNA, 123 nt
Filed under: Triticum aestivum (bread wheat)
Lineage: Eukaryota; Viridiplantae; Streptophyta; Magnoliopsida; Poales; Poaceae
Description: partial small subunit ribosomal RNA
Source: RNAcentral
UUUCCAUAAUUUGUCCGUGUCAACAAACAAUUAAAAAUACCUUGACUUUUUCGGAACAGGUCCGAGUCAAAUAGCAAUAGUUUGAAGGACUUCGUUUUCCAUUAAACUAUUUCGGAAACCUAA